UGGGGAAUCUUGGACAAUGGGGGCAACCCUGAUCCAGCCAUGCCGCGUGAGUGAUGAAGGCCUUAGGGUCGUAAAGCUCUUUCGCCUGUGAAGAUAAUGACGGUAGCAGGUAAAGAAACCCCGGCUAACUCCGUGCCAGCAGCCGCGGUAAUACGGAGGGGGUUAGCGUUGUUCGGAAUUACUGGGCGUAAAGCGCACGUAGGCGGACCAGAAAGUUGGGGGUGAAAUCCCGGGGGCUCAACCCCGGAACUGCCUCCAAAACUAUUGGUCUAGAGUUCGAGAGAGGUGAGUGGAAUUCCAAGUGUAGAGGUGAAAUUCGUAGAUAUUUGGAGGAACACCAGUGGCGAAGGCGGCUCACUGGCUCGAUACUGACGCUGAGGUGCGAAAGUGUGGGGAGCAAACAGGAUUAGAUACCCUGGUAGUCCACACCGUAAAACGAUGAAUGCCAGUCGUCGGGUAGCAUGCUAUUCGGUGACACACCUAACGGAUUAAGCAUUCCGCCUGGGGAGUACGGUCGCAAGAUUAAAACUCAAAGAAUUG
This 540-nucleotide ribosomal RNA is filed under the name uncultured bacterium. Its description in RNAcentral is "bacterial SSU rRNA". It matches the Rfam family "Bacterial small subunit ribosomal RNA", at positions 355 to 912 of the family's 1533-position model. The record is from RNAcentral.